RNAcentral lists this ribosomal RNA (355 nucleotides) under uncultured bacterium. Its description in RNAcentral is "bacterial SSU rRNA". It matches the Rfam family "Bacterial small subunit ribosomal RNA", at positions 335 to 682 of the family's 1533-position model. The record is from RNAcentral.
ACUCCUACGGGAGGCAGCAGUGGGGAAUAUUGCACAAUGGGCGCAAGCCUGAUGCAGCCAUGCCGCGUGUGUGAAGAAGGCCUUCGGGUUGUAAAGCACUUUCAGUCGUGAGGAAGGUAGUGUAGUUAAUAGCUGCAUUAUUUGACGUUAGCGACAGAAGAAGCACCGGCUAACUCCGUGCCAGCAGCCGCGGUAAUACGGAGGGUGCGAGCGUUAAUCGGAAUUACUGGGCGUAAAGCGCAUGCAGGUGGUUUGUUAAGUCAGAUGUGAAAGCCCGGGGCUCAACCUCGGAAUUGCAUUUGAAACUGGCAGACUAGAGUACUGUAGAGGGGGGUAGAAUUUCAGGUGUAGCGGU